GACGAACCGUCCAAACGUUGUUCGGAAUCACUGGGCUUAAAGGGCGCGUAGGCGGGCCACAAAGUCCGGGGUGAAAUCUUUCGGCUUAACCGGAAAAUUGCCUUGGAUACUGGUGGUCUCGAGGGAGGUAGGGGUCUGUGGAACUUCUGGUGGAGCGGUGAAAUGCGUUGAUAUCAGAAGGAACGCCGGUGGCGAAAGCGACGGACUGGACCUCCACUGACGCUGAGGCGCGAAAGCUAGGGGAGCAAACGGG
This 253-nucleotide ribosomal RNA is filed under the name uncultured bacterium. Its description in RNAcentral is "partial 16S ribosomal RNA". It matches the Rfam family "Bacterial small subunit ribosomal RNA", at positions 524 to 776 of the family's 1533-position model. The record is from RNAcentral.